AUGCUCUUGUUGGCAGCGUAUAUUCUAAUUUAGAAUGGUACAGAAAAGAUUUGCAUGGCCCCUGUGUAAAGAUGAUGCACAAAUUCAUGAAGUGUUCCAUAUUUUA
Small nuclear RNA from Heterocephalus glaber (naked mole-rat), 106 nucleotides. The record is from Ensembl. NCBI's taxonomy places the organism in Eukaryota, Metazoa, Chordata, Mammalia, Rodentia, Bathyergidae.